CCCUUAGAUGUCCUGGGCCGCACGCGCGCUACACUGAGUGUCUGAGAUACGAGUCUGCCUGGUCCGGCAAGGUCUAGGUAAUCGCUAAAAGACACAUCAUGCUUGGGAUAGAUUAUUGCAAAUAUUAAUCUUGAACGAGGAAUUCCUAGUAAGCGCAAGUCAACAGCUUGCGUUGAUUAUGUCCCUGCCCUUUGUACACACCGCCCGUCGCUCCUACUGAUUGGGUGAUCCGGUGAGCUGUUCGGCCAUAGCAAUGUUUCUUGAGCAGGGCAAUGAAUGUUUCGCAAACCUUGCCACUUAGAGGAAGGAGAAGUCGUAACA
RNAcentral lists this ribosomal RNA (321 nucleotides) under uncultured eukaryote. RNAcentral describes it as "partial 18S ribosomal RNA". It matches the Rfam family "Eukaryotic small subunit ribosomal RNA", at positions 1470 to 1796 of the family's 1831-position model. The record is from RNAcentral.